UACACUCCUGCGGGAGGCAGCAGUGGGGAAUUUUGGACAAUGGGCGCAAGCCUGAUCCAGCCAUGCCGCGUGCGGGAAGAAGGCCUUCGGGUUGUAAACCGCUUUUGUCAGGGAAGAAAAGGUUCUGGCUAAUACCUGGGACUCAUGACGGUACCUGAAGAAUAAGCACCGGCUAACUACGUGCCAGCAGCCGCGGUAAUACGUAGGGUGCAAGCGUUAAUCGGAAUUACUGGGCGUAAAGCGUGCGCAGGCGGUUAUGCAAGACAGAGGUGAAAUCCCCGGGCUCAACCUGGGAACUGCCUUUGUGACUGCAUGGCUAGAGUACGGUAGAGGGGGAUGGAAUUCCGCGUGUAGCAGUGAAAUGCGUAGAUAUGCGGAGGAACACCGAUGGCGAAGGCAAUCCCCUGGACCUGUACUGACGCUCAUGCACGAAAGCGUGGGGAGCAAACAGGAUUAGAAACCCCAGUAGUCCCA
RNAcentral lists this ribosomal RNA (474 nucleotides) under uncultured organism. RNAcentral's name for it is "partial 16S ribosomal RNA". It matches the Rfam family "Bacterial small subunit ribosomal RNA", at positions 332 to 797 of the family's 1533-position model. The record is from RNAcentral.